RNAcentral lists this long non-coding RNA (1041 nucleotides) under Salmo trutta (river trout). Its description in RNAcentral is "lncRNA (ENSSTUG00000048727.1)". Lineage: Eukaryota; Metazoa; Chordata; Actinopteri; Salmoniformes; Salmonidae. The record is from RNAcentral.
GCGCUACUCCCCUGAGCCACUGCAGGACAUCAUUGGCCUUUUAUCAAUUAGAUAUUGCUCGCCUCCUUUUGAAAAAGGUCAAAGGUAAUCGAGGAGGGUCGGCGACGAGAGUGAACCAAGGGACCAGGGUUCCGGUCGAGGAACACUGUUUUGACUGCUCCUACAGUUUUGAAUUCAAAACUCUUCCACGGCAGGUUACACAUGCGUGUCCUCGAUGAAAGGUGCCUGUCGAGGUGGGGAGGACACUCUUCCGUUUGAACGAAAUGUCACAUACUUCAACCACUGGACCUCUUAUCUGUUUCUGGCCUCACCCACAAUGAGCACUACUCUGACCUCUCUUGGAGAUGAAAAGGAAUGCUUGUAUAGCCAAUAUUUUGUUUCGUCUCCGAACGAUUUAUUAAUCCGUGUGAUCCUGACAAUAGCUAACUGGUGGCUACACAGCGGAUAUAACGUUAACUAAACGAGCCAUGUAAGCUAGCUGGGAGUGGGAGCCAGGGAUGUGCGUCUGUUGAAGUGCAGUGCUUGCUAGCAACUCGUAUUUCCACCAGGAUUCAAAAGAAGUCUACUAAUACGGAGCUGGCAACAUCACUCAAGUUAACUAGGUAGCGUUACCUAACUAUAAUAGCCAUUUUAGAUGGCAAACUAAACCAAAGAUAGUGGAUAAGUGAUAAUUAAAUCAGGUAUUUUACUAUUGAAAAACAAUGGUCAGUUCCGGUCUACUUAACAGGGCGUAUAGACUAAUGCAACAGCAGCGGGGUCUGGUCUACUUAGUUUAUUGACUUUAAUUGAACCAGAAAAAAACAGCGAGUGGGGUGUCUCGCUUCCUCUUCCUUCUUUGACUAAAUUAUAAACCAAUGACUGGGCCUCGGUACACUAGCUCUGCCUGGAAAGGAGCACUAAUUAGCUAGUUUAUUCUGAAUUAAUGUCUAAAAUAAGUGGUCAGCUAGCAAGUCCUAUCAAGUGUGUGAGCCAUAUCAGGUUCAGCCCUGUUGAAGCAACAUAGCUAGCUAAAUUCAACUUGAUUUGAGAGAGAACCUCAGU